AGGACGAACGCUGGCGGCGUGCUUAACACAUGCAAGUCGAGCGGAAAGGCCCUUCGGGGUACUCGAGCGGCGAACGGGUGAGUAACACGUGAGCAACCUGCCCCUGGCUCUGGGAUAGCCUUCGGAAACGGGGAUUAAUACCGGAUAUUCACUGCUUCCUGCAUGGGGGGUGGUGGAAAGUUUUUCGGCUGGGUGGGGCUCGCGGCCUAUCAGCUUGUUGGGGGGUGACGGCCCACCAAGGCGACGACGGGUAGCCGGCCUGAGAGGGCGACCGGCCACACUGGGACUGAGACACGGCCCAGACUCCUACGGGAGGCAGCAGUGGGGAAUAUUGCGCAAUGGGCGGAAGCCUGACGCAGCGACGCCGCGUGCGGGAUGAAGGCCUUCGGGUUGUAAACCGCUUUCACCAGGGACGAAGCGAGAGUGACGGUACCUGGGGAAGAAGCGCCGGCUAACUACGUGCCAGCAGCCGC
Molecule: ribosomal RNA, 473 nt
Filed under: uncultured bacterium
Lineage: Bacteria
Description: SSU rRNA
Rfam family: Bacterial small subunit ribosomal RNA
Source: RNAcentral